AGUGAACGCUGGCGGUAGGCCUAACACAUGCAAGUCGAACGGCAGCACAGUAAGAGCUUGCUCUUACGGGUGGCGAGUGGCGGACGGGUGAGGAAUACAUCGGAAUCUACUUUUUCGUGGGGGAUAACGUAGGGAAACUUACGCUAAUACCGCAUACGACCUACGGGUGAAAGCAUGGGAUCUUCGGACCUUGCGCGAUUGAAUGAGCCGAUGUCGGAUUAGCUAGUUGGCGGGCUAAAGGCCCACCAAGGCGACGAUCCGUAGCUGGUCGGAGAGGAUGGUCAGCCACAUUGGAACUGAGACACGGUCCAGACUCCUACGGGAGGGAGCAGUGGGGAAUAUUGGACAAUGGGCGCGAGCCUGAUCCAGCCAUACCGCGUGGGUGAAGAAGGCCUCCGGGUUGUAAAGCCCUUUUGUUGGGAGAGAAAAGCAGCAGGUUAAUACCCCGCUGUUCUGACGGUACCCAAAGAAUAAGCACCGGCUAACUUCGUG
Molecule: ribosomal RNA, 492 nt
Filed under: uncultured bacterium
Lineage: Bacteria
Description: partial 16S ribosomal RNA
Rfam family: Bacterial small subunit ribosomal RNA
Source: RNAcentral